UACGGGGGGGGCAAGCGUUGUUCGGAAUUACUGGGCGUAAAGGGUUUGUAGGUGGCUUGUUAAGUCAGACGUGAAAUCCCUCAGCUUAACUGGGGAACUGCGUCUGAUACUGGCGAGCUUGAGUGCAGGAGAGGAACGCGGAAUUCCAGGUGUAGCGGUGAAAUGCGUAGAUAUCGAGAGGAACACCUGCGGCGAAGGCGGGUUGCUGGGCUGACACUGACGCUGAGGCGCGAAAGCCAGGGGAGCGAACGGG
RNAcentral lists this ribosomal RNA (253 nucleotides) under uncultured bacterium. RNAcentral describes it as "partial 16S ribosomal RNA". It matches the Rfam family "Bacterial small subunit ribosomal RNA", at positions 524 to 776 of the family's 1533-position model. The record is from RNAcentral.